This 450-nucleotide ribosomal RNA is filed under the name Capnocytophaga granulosa. RNAcentral describes it as "bacterial SSU rRNA". It matches the Rfam family "Bacterial small subunit ribosomal RNA", at positions 28 to 482 of the family's 1533-position model. The record is from RNAcentral. Lineage: Bacteria; Pseudomonadati; Bacteroidota; Flavobacteriia; Flavobacteriales; Flavobacteriaceae.
GAUGAACGCUAGCGGCAGGCCUAACACAUGCAAGUCGAGGGAGAAGCCCUUCGGGGCAGAAACCGGCGCACGGGUGCGUAACGCGUAUGCAACCUACCUUUCACAGGGGGAUAGCCCGAAGAAAUUUGGAUUAAUACCCCAUAAUAUUAUUGGAUGGCAUCAUUUGAUAAUUAAAAUUACGAUGGUGAAAGAUGGGCAUGCGUCCUAUUAGCUAGUUGGAGUGGUAACGGCACCCCAAGGCUACGAUAGGUAGGGGUCCUGAGAGGGAGAUCCCCCACACUGGUACUGAGACAGGGACCAGACUCCUACGGGAGGCAGCAGUGAGGAAUAUUGGUCAAUGGUCGGAAGACUGAACCAGCCAUGCCGCGUGCAGGAAGAAUGCCUUAUGGGUUGUAAACUGCUUUUAUAUGGGAAGAAUAAGGAGUACGCGUACUUUGAUGACGGACCAUA